AGUGAACGCUGGCGGUAGGCCUAACACAUGCAAGUCGAACGGCAGCACAGUAAGAGCUUGCUCUUACGGGUGGCGAGUGGCGGACGGGUGAGGAAUACAUCGGAAUCUACUUUUUCGUGGGGGAUAACGUAGGGAAACUUACGCUAAUACCGCAUACGAUCUACGGGUGAAAGCAGUGGAUCUUCGGACCUUUCGCGAUUGAAUGAGCCGAUUUCGGAUUAGCUAGUUGGCGGGGUAAAGGCCCACCAAGGUGACGAUCCGUAGCUGGUCUGAGAGGAUGAUCAGCCACACUGGAACUGAGACACGGUCCAGACUCCUACGGGAGGCAGCAGUGGGGAAUAUUGGACAAUGGGCGCAAGCCUGAUCCAGCCAUACCGCGUGGGUGAAGAAGGCCUUCGGGUUGUAAAGCCCUUUUGUUGGGAAAGAAAAGCAGUAGGUUAAUACCCCGCUGUUCUGACGGUACCGAAAGAAUAAGCACCGGCUAACUUCGUG
This 492-nucleotide ribosomal RNA is filed under the name uncultured bacterium. RNAcentral's name for it is "partial 16S ribosomal RNA". It matches the Rfam family "Bacterial small subunit ribosomal RNA", at positions 29 to 507 of the family's 1533-position model. The record is from RNAcentral.